UUUUCAGACAUGCCUUACCUCCAGUUAUAUCUACUCCAAGAUUUUCUAAAGUGUUCUCAAUCAUUUGUGAUGAAGCUUCUCGAUCUUGUGGAGCUUAAACUGAAGGAACUUAUUAGAAGGGAACCUACUCUUCUUGUCAUGGUGGUCGGUGUUCCUAAUGUCGGAAAAUCAGCUUUAAUCAAUUCCAUCCAUCAAAUAGCAUUAUCUCGAUUUCCAGGUAAGACAUUUGCGCUGUUAGUGAUUCUGCUCUGUGCGUCUGGAGGACUACUUGGUUCUUUUGGGAUAUUGGUAGAUUACCUCAAGCACUGAUGGUUUUGACCUUUGUCUUAGUGCAGCAGAAGAUGAAGAGAGCUACAGUGGGGCCUUUUCCUGGUGUUACCCAAGAUAUUGCUGGAUAUAAGGUAAGAAAUAUUUAUACAUCUUGGAUGUCAGAUUAUGCUUUUGUUAGUUGGUCAGUGAUGGCUAAAAUUCUUUGCACUCCAUACUGUUGAACUAUAGAUGAAGAAAUUUGUACUGGAUAUAUCUUGUAAUGUUUCAUUUUCCAGUUUAUUUGUAUUAGUAGAUGCAGUGUUCCUAAAAGCCAUUGCUUCAUCAUUUAGAGCGACAAAACGAUAUGAAGCGAGAAGUUAUCACUUCAUGGGUGAAGCAGUGCACUUCAGAGAAGUGUCCACUUCAGACAAUGAUGUGUAUAGUGAUCCCAAUGAGAAGCGGUCGUUUCUUUAAAUCUCAACUCUGAAGAGUUGGACUAAAAUUAACAUUACUGUAUAUUAGAUGGUGAUAUUAGUUAUUUUAACUGCGAUUGAUUAAUAUAGUGCUGAAUUCAUAUAUGCUUGAUAUCUUUUAUAUUUAAAUUGUGAGCUUCAUUUCAAAAAGAAUGCGCUUCACUUCUAGCUUUUCACUUCAAGCUAUGUGGAUCUUACACCUUUUCUUCAGAAAGAAUUUCCAUAAAAAACAUUUCUCAAAUCAAAUGCACCAAACUGUUCACUCGUUGGAACAGUGUUCUUAUAUGCUACUAAAUCUCAAAGCUGUUUUUGAUAUUUAUGCUAGGUUAAUUGCGCUAACGCAAUUGAUGAGUGUUUGGUGGAUCGCUUUGUCUUAAAUGUGACACAAAAUAGCAUGGUGUCUUUUUCCCUAGUCCAACAUUCUCCUUUUCCCCCUUAACUUUGGAGAAUGUGCUUGUUGAAAGUAUUUUACUUAAAUUAGGACUGGUUCAAUAUUGGCAUUUACAACUGUAACAGUGAAACUUAUUGUUUUAAUUCUAUGCAGAGGUGGAUUCGGUAUUUUGAUUCAUGUAAACAAGAUUGCCUCCCAAUAAAUGCACACAGUAGAAGUUCCGUGCAAAAGGUUAGUGACAUUUUAUCCAUGACGUUUAGCUGGAAGCUUGUUGUUUCAUUGUUUUGUAUUUGUUUUAUAUGUCAAAGAUGCAGCAACUAUUAUCCAGAAAUAUAAUAUAAUGCCAGAAAGCCGCAAAUUCCUUAGUUGGCCAAGAACCACAGAACGUAGUACUGAGGUAAAAGGUGCUUUAGAUUUUCUUUUUAGUGAGCCAGAUGUAAAAGGGAUAGGGAAUAACCUUUAUCCAGGUAUAUGUUUUUUUUUCUCCAAAAUUGUCAUUCUCUAUUCUUGCUUCCUUUGAUACAAUAAUUUUCUAUUGUCACAGGAACCUUAAAGUUUCCGACUGCAACAGUUAAGAUUGAAAAGUACAUGACAAUGGUAACACAUAUAUGAAGCAUUAGAAAAUAUAGAGGAAGUCUUUAUUUAACUGUUAUCAUGCAGGCUUUGCACAGUAAAAAUCUAGCAAAAAAUAACUAGUUAAGCUGCUUCUUAGGAUAUCAAUGGCAUUAUUGCCUUAAUAUGGUUGUUGCGCUGUAAACUGUUGGCAAUCCAGCCAAAUAUUUUCCUGAUACUAAAUUUGCUAUAAGGUUUUCAGACAUGCCUUACCUCCAGUUAUAUCUACUCCAAGAUUUUCUAAAGUGUUCUCAAUCAUUUGUGAUGAAGCUUCUCGAUCUUGUGGAGCUUAAACUGAAGGAACUUAUUAGAAGGGAACCUACUCUUCUUGUCAUGGUGGUCGGUGUUCCUAAUGUCGGAAAAUCAGCUUUAAUCAAUUCCAUCCAUCAAAUAGCAUUAUCUCGAUUUCCA
Molecule: long non-coding RNA, 2136 nt
Filed under: Nicotiana benthamiana
Lineage: Eukaryota; Viridiplantae; Streptophyta; Magnoliopsida; Solanales; Solanaceae
Description: long non-coding RNA (NBEN_LNC017498)
Source: RNAcentral